UACAGAGAGUGCAAACGUUGUUCGGAAUUACUGGGCUUAAAGCGCACGUAGGCUGUGUCGUAAGUGUCGAGUGAAAUCCCACGGCUUACCCGUGGAACUGCUCGGCAUACUGCGAUACUAGAGUAUGGUAGGGGAGAGCGGAACUCCUGGUGGAGCGGUGAAAUGCGUAGAUAUCAGGAGGAACACCGGUGGCGAAGGCGGCUCUCUGGUCCAUGUCUGACGCUGAGGUGCGAAAGCUAGGGGAGCAAACGGG
RNAcentral lists this ribosomal RNA (253 nucleotides) under uncultured bacterium. RNAcentral describes it as "partial 16S ribosomal RNA". It matches the Rfam family "Bacterial small subunit ribosomal RNA", at positions 524 to 776 of the family's 1533-position model. The record is from RNAcentral.